GUUUUUAUAGUUGAAUAACAACAGUGGUUUUUCGGAUCAUUGGUCCUGAUUAAAGUUCAGGUAAAAAUU
This 69-nucleotide transfer RNA is filed under the name Oplurus grandidieri. RNAcentral's name for it is "tRNA-Glu". The record is from RNAcentral. Lineage: Eukaryota; Metazoa; Chordata; Lepidosauria; Squamata.